This 468-nucleotide ribosomal RNA is filed under the name uncultured bacterium. RNAcentral describes it as "partial 16S ribosomal RNA". It matches the Rfam family "Bacterial small subunit ribosomal RNA", at positions 28 to 507 of the family's 1533-position model. The record is from RNAcentral.
GACGAACGCUGGCGGCGUGCUUAACACAUGCAAGUCGAACGGAAAGGCCCUGCUCUUGCUGGUUGCUCGUGUGGCGCACGGGUGAGUAACACGUGAGUAACCCGCCCUUGUCUUUGUGAUAACUUUUGGAAACUCGGGCUCAUACCGGAUAUGAGCUCCUGCUGCAUGGUGUGGGUUGGUAAGUUUCGGCGGUUGGGGAUGGACUCGCUGCUUAUCGGCUUGAUGGUGGGGUAGUGGCUUACCAAGGGUUUGACGGGUAGCCGACCUGAGAGGGUUAACGGCGACAAUGGGACUGAGAGACGGAGCAGAAUCGUACGGGAGGCAGCAGUGGAGAAUAUGGCACAGUAGGGGGGAGCCUGAGACAACAACGCCGCGAGCGGGAAAACGGCCUUCGAGGUAUAAACAGAUGUGGCAUGUAACAAGGAGUGAGUGACGGUAAUGAGUAAGGAAGCCACGGCUAACUACGUG